This 459-nucleotide ribosomal RNA is filed under the name uncultured bacterium. RNAcentral's name for it is "partial 16S ribosomal RNA". It matches the Rfam family "Bacterial small subunit ribosomal RNA", at positions 338 to 795 of the family's 1533-position model. The record is from RNAcentral.
CCUACGGCAGGCAGCAGUGAGGAAUAUUGGUCAAUGGGAGAGAUCCUGAACCAGCCAAGCCGCGUGAGGGAAGACGGCCCUACGGGUUGUAAACCUCUUUUGCCGGGGAACAAAACCCGGGACGUGUCCCGGCCCGCGUGUUUCCGAAGAAAAAGCAUCGGCUAACUCCGUGCCAGCAGCCGCGGUAAUAAGGAGGAUGCGAGCGUUAUCCGGAUUUAUUGGGGUUAAAGGGUGCGUAGGCGGUCCGUUAAGUCAGCGGUAAAAUUGCGGGGCUCAACCCCGUCGAGCCGUUGAAACUGGGAGACUUGAGUGGGCGAGAAGUACGCGGAAUGCGUGGUGUAGCGGUGAAAUGCAUAGAUAUCGCGCAGAACUCCGAUUGCGAAGGCAGCGUACCGGCGCCAGACUGACGCUGAGGCACGAAAGCGUGGGGAUCGAACAGGAUUAGAUACCCGGGUAGUC